This 774-nucleotide ribosomal RNA is filed under the name uncultured Neocallimastigales. Its description in RNAcentral is "partial large subunit ribosomal RNA". It matches the Rfam family "Eukaryotic large subunit ribosomal RNA", at positions 20 to 616 of the family's 3401-position model. Lineage: Eukaryota; Fungi; Neocallimastigomycota; Neocallimastigomycetes; Neocallimastigales. The record is from RNAcentral.
UACUAGAGUAGCACUCGCAUAUCAAUAAGCGGAGGAAAAGAAACUAACAAGGAUUCCCCUAGUAACGGCGAGUGAAGCGGGAAGAGCUCAAAUUUGAAAUCUUAAAGGGUUUCCCUUUACGAAUUGUAGUUUAAAGAAGUGUUUUCUGUCGAGGUUUUGGUAAAAGUUCUUUGGAAUAGGACAUCAUAGAGGGUGAGAAUCCCGUAUUUGACCUUUACUUUCAACUUUGUGAUACACUUUCAAAGAGUCGGAUUGUUUGGGAAUGCAGUCCAAAAUGGGUGGUAAAUUUCAUCUAAAGCUAAAUAUUGGCGAGAGACCGAUAGCGAACAAGUACCGUGAGGGAAAGAUGAAAAGAACUUUGAAAAGAGAGUUAAACAGUACGUGAAAUUGUCAAAAGGGAAGCGUUUGACACCAGUGUUGUUUUUCUGAAAAUCAAUUAAAGAACUGUUUAUGCUAAGUUGUUUAGACUUUAUCAGCUAACUGUUUAGUUUUGAGCUUUUCUUUAAUGCACUUUUCAGUUAACAAGUCAACAUCAAUUUCUUUUGCUGUAAAAAAGCUUGAGGAAGGUGGCUUGAGAUUCGUCUUAAGUGUUUAUAGCCUCUUGCCUAUGCAGUCGGAGAGAUUGAGGUCUGCAGCGUAGAUCCUUCGGGGCUAAAUGCAUUUGUGCUAAGUUAUAGCAUUUUAUAGACAACUUGUUGACUAUGAUUUGUCUUGUAGCUUACUCGCUUAUGUUAUUUUACCUACGCUUAGGAUGUUGAGCGCAUGUCUCUCUCU